Molecule: long non-coding RNA, 1207 nt
Organism: Oncorhynchus tshawytscha (Chinook salmon)
Lineage: Eukaryota; Metazoa; Chordata; Actinopteri; Salmoniformes; Salmonidae
Source: Ensembl
UGCUUUGUUGGUUGAAACCAAGGUGCUUUGUUGGUUGAAACCAAGGUGCUUUGUUGGUUGAAACCAAGGUGCUUUGUUGGGUGAAACCAAGGUGCUUUUUUGGGUGAAACCAAGGUGUUAUGUUGGUUAAUACCAAGGUGUUAUGUUGGUUAAUACCAAGGUGUUAUGUUGGUUGAAACCAAGGUGCUUUGUUGGUUGAAACCAAGGUGCUUUGUUGGUUGAAACCAAGGUGCUUUGUUGGGUGAAACCAAGGUGUUAUGUUGGUUAUUACCAAGGUGAUUUGUUGGUUGAAACCAAGGUGCUUUGUUGGGGAAACCAAUGUGCUUUGUUGGGUGAAACCAAGGUGCUAUGUUGGUUGAUACCAAGGUGCUUUGUUGUUCGAAACCAAGGUGCUUUGUUGGUUGAAACCAAGGUGCUUUGUUGGGUGAAACCAAGGUGUUAUGUUGGUUAAUACCAAGGUGUUAUGUUGGUUAAUACCAAGGUGUUAUGUUGGUUGAAACCAAGGUGCUUUGUUGGGUGAAACCAAGGUGUUAUGUUGGUUAAUACCAAGGUGUUAUGUUGGUUAAUACCAAAGUGUUAUGUUGGUUGAAACCAAGGUGCUUUGUUGGGUGAAACCAAGGUGUUAUGUUGGUUAAUACCAAGGUGUUAUGUUGGUUGAUACCAAGGUGCUUUGUUGGGUGAAACCAAGGUGUUAUGUUGGUUGAUACCAAGGUGCUUUGUUGGUUGAAACCAAGGUGCUUUGUUGGUUGAAACCAAUGUGCUUUGUUGGGUGAAACCAAGGUGUUAUGUUGGUUAAUACCAAGGUGUUAUGUUGGUUGAUACCAAGGUGUUAUGUUGGUUAAUACCAAGGUGUUAUGUUGGUUAAUACCAAGGUGUUAUGUUGGUUAAUACCAAGGUGUUAUGUUGGUUAAUACCAAGGUGUUAUGUUGGUUAAUACCAAGGUGUUAUGUUGGUUAAAUACCAAGGUGUUAUGUUGGUUGAUACCAAGGUGUUAUGUUGGUUGAUACCAAGGUGCUUUGUUGGUUAAUACCAAGGUGCUAUGUUGGUUGAUACCAAGGUGCUUUGUUGGUUAAUACCAAGGUGUUAUGUUGGUUAAUACCAAGGUGUUAUGUUGGUUGAUACCAAGGUGUUAUGUUGGUUAAUACCAAGGUGUUAUGUUGGUUGAUACCAAGGUGUUAUGUUGGUUAAUACCAAGGUGUUAUGUUGG